RNAcentral lists this ribosomal RNA (2049 nucleotides) under Triticum aestivum (bread wheat). RNAcentral's name for it is "partial small subunit ribosomal RNA". Lineage: Eukaryota; Viridiplantae; Streptophyta; Magnoliopsida; Poales; Poaceae. The record is from RNAcentral.
AUGGCCAAUGAACACCACGCCUUACUUCUUAGUUAUGUCCCAGGGAAUUUCUGCUCUUUCAGCAUUGGCAGCUUUUUUUCAAAUCGACGUUUUCCCACUCGCCACGACACACCCAUGCUCAUCCAUCUUCCUCUUCCCCGCCCACUAUUUUUUUCCACAACCACCUUGCUUGAGCCAUGCCAUGUCCAGGCCCUCCUCGUGGGCUCUUCCCGGACGAGACGAAAGAAGAAUGUGCUGAACAUUGUGUUCUCAUUGUCACUGAUCAUCGAAAGAGAGUAUGUAUAUGCUGUUUCGAAACAGAGGAAGGUGCAAUGCCUGGUUUUUCCUUCACGGGCCUCUCAUGUUGGUAUAGCCCCCUACCUUAGCCGGCCCAAUUGCCCCCUCCAUUCACUGGGCUUCGUUAGGCCGCUGUCGGGCAGUGGAAUUUUGUUGGAGUAUAUGGUAUUGACGGUUCCCCCAUUCACGCGGCAGCAAAUCAUUCGCAAAAUCGCAAUGCCUCCUCCCGUCGUGCGGCGCCGCGGGUCUGCCCCUCCGGCGCCGGACCCUCCUCCGGCGGGUCGUCCUCCUCCUCCGGCGCGUCGACGAAAGAUUAUACCCGGUACUUUCGGGGAGCUAGCCGCCAGUAUAGUGGAAACCGUGGCGGCGAGGAGAUCUCUGCGUUUGGGGAACAGAUUAAUAUGCAUCCGAUCCCACACCUUUCCCUCCAUAGAUCGGCGUGUUAGGGCGAUGACUUUGCGAAACAAUGGGGUGCUCUUGGUGCUGCUAGAGACGCCAUCCGGCUUCGCGGUUUUCAAUUUCUGUGGGAUCUACCUCUACUUACCAGAUGCAAUACAAAGUAUGUGGGUAAAAUUUGCUAACUAUUAUAGGGCAAGGCGGGUUGUUUGGCUGAAGGAAUUUCAAACUUUUGAUGACAAGUCCAGAGCCAUUAAUGCUGAUACUGGUGUUAACAAACAGCUCACUCAGAUGAUCUUGAAGUGGCGCCGCCCUGGGCAGGAACUACUUGUUGGAAAACCGGAAUAUAAAUCAGUAAUUGAAGCAAGCUUGGGAAUACCCUGCCGGCAUGAUGAACUUGUAAUGGAGGUAAUGUGGGGCAUGAAGCGUUUCAUGCCUAGUUUGGUGCGCAGAGAAAAAUCAGAGCUUCCUAAAGAAGAUCUGCUCCCAGUGAUGGUCAACGACCAGAUUGUUGCGACUGCAUCCGUCUUGUUUGAUUGUGAUGCUGCUGAGAAGAAACAGUACAGAGACUUCCAUGCUCUUGGUCGCCACCUUAAGAAUGUGUCUGGCAUUGAGUAUGAGAACUGGGACCUUCUGAAACUUGCGACAGCUUUUAAAAUCAUUACAAGUUUUACAGAAAUAUAUGACAAGGUGGGGCCCUCUUGUCCAAUGCAAAACCGCCGCCCCUCUCCUCCAAUGCAAAACCGCCGCCCCUCUCGUCCAAUGCAAAGCCGCCGCCGUGCUCCUUCCCCUCUUCCAUCACCAUUGCAACCGCGGCCAUCUCCUAGCCUUCUCCUCCUUCUCGUGGCCGCAACUUUGCUCUUCUCAUCUUCCACUUCCACCCCCUCUUCCAUCCAUGCAAGAUCCUCGAUGGAGCAGCAGAUCGAGCACAUCGGCGGCGGCGAGAACGCCGACUUCGUGGAGAUCGCCGGCGGCGAGAACACCGACUUCAUGGAGAUCGCCGGCGGCGACCAGGUCAAGAUGGCCAGGUUGACGGAGAUCCGUUCUUGGUUUCACAACAUAUUGCAGAUGAACUGGACGGCAAUGGCCACUUUGAAGCAAGUCGAGAUCCUCCUCUGGGCGAUGGAGCAGGCCGAUUCGUCCAGCCCGUGGACCAGGCGUAGGUGGUGGGCGUUCAGAUCCAGGGUAGAGCAUCCACUGGAUCAGGAACCCACGGUGCACGAGGUGCCGUUGCAGAUUGUGGAGCCUCCAACCGAGUCGGAGAUGACUCCGAAGCGCAAGAGGAGGAGGACAGUGGUCGCGACAUCGCUUCCCCGCCGUUCUCCACGCUUCCCUCGCCGCUCUCCUCGUCUGAACGGCGGCCGUAGCUAUGUUUAG